RNAcentral lists this ribosomal RNA (795 nucleotides) under uncultured bacterium. RNAcentral describes it as "bacterial SSU rRNA". It matches the Rfam family "Bacterial small subunit ribosomal RNA", at positions 8 to 796 of the family's 1533-position model. The record is from RNAcentral.
AGAGUUUGAUCCUGGCUCAGAUUGAACGCUGGCGGCGUGCCUAACACAUGCAAGUCGAGCGGUAACAGGUGUAGCAAUACAUGCUGACGAGCGGCGAACGGGUGAGUAAUGCUUCGGAAUCUACCCUAUAGUGGGGAAUAACUAGCCGAAAGGUUAGCUAAUACCGCAUAAGUCCUACGGGAGAAAGCAGGGGAUCGCAAGACCUUGCGCUGAUGGAUGAGCCGAAGUCGGAUUAGCUAGUUGGUGAGGUAACGGCUCACCAAGGCGACGAUCCGUAGCUGGUCUGAGAGGACGACCAGCCACACUGGAACUGAGACACGGUCCAGACUCCUACGGGAGGCAGCAGUGGGGAAUAUUGGACAAUGGGGGAAACCCUGAUCCAGCGACGCCGCGUGUGUGAAGAAGGCCUGCGGGUUGUAAAGCACUUUUAGUGGGGAUGAAAGGUACUCGGCUAAUACCUGGGUACUCUGACCUAACCCACAGAAAAAGCACCGGCUAACUCUGUGCCAGCAGCCGCGGUAAUACAGAGGGUGCAAGCGUUAAUCGGAAUUACUGGGCGUAAAGCGUGCGCAGAUGGUUGCGUAAGUCAGAUGUGAAAGCCCCGGGCUCAACCUGGGAAUUGCAUUUGAGACUGCGUAGCUAGGGUGCGGAAGAGGGAAGCGGAAUUUCCGGUGUAGCGGUGAAAUGCGUAGAUAUCGGAAGGAACACCAGUGGCGAAAGCGGCUUCCUGGUCCAGCACCGACAUUCAGGCACGAAAGCGUGGGGAGCAAACAGGAUUAGAUACCCCCGUAGUCC